Molecule: ribosomal RNA, 743 nt
Filed under: uncultured bacterium
Lineage: Bacteria
Description: bacterial SSU rRNA
Rfam family: Bacterial small subunit ribosomal RNA
Source: RNAcentral
AGCGGCGGAUGGGUGAGUAACACGUGGGGAACCUGCCCCUAAGUCUGGGAUACCAUUUGGAAACAGGUGCUAAUACCGGAUAAUAAAGCAGAUCGCAUGAUCAGCUUUUGAAAGGCGGCGUAAGCUGUCGCUAAGGGAUGGCCCCGCGGUGCAUUAGCUAGUUGGUAAGGUAACGGCUUACCAAGGCGACGAUGCAUAGCCGAGUUGAGAGACUGAUCGGCCACAUUGGGACUGAGACACGGCCCAAACUCCUACGGGAGGCAGCAGUAGGGAAUCUUCCACAAUGGACGCAAGUCUGAUGGAGCAACGCCGCGUGAGUGAAGAAGGUUUUCGGAUCGUAAAGCUCUGUUGUUGGUGAAGAAGGAUAGAGGUAGUAACUGGCCUUUAUUUGACGGUAAUCAACCAGAAAGUCACGGCUAACUAUGUGCCAGCAGCCGCGGUAAUACGUAGGUGGCAAGCGUUGUCCGGAUUUAUUGGGCGUAAAGCGAGCGCAGGCGGAAAAAUAAGUCUAAUGUGAAAGCCCUCGGCUUAACCGAGGAACUGCAUCGGAAACUGUUUUUCUUGAGUGCAGAAGAGGAGAGUGGAACUCCAUGUGUAGCGGUGGAAUGCGUAGAUAUAUGGAAGAACACCAGUGGCGAAGGCGGCUCUCUGGUCUGCAACUGACGCUGAGGCUCGAAAGCAUGGGUAGCGAACAGGAUUAGAUACCCUGGUAGUCCAUGCCGUAAACGAUGAGUGCUAAGUGU